Molecule: ribosomal RNA, 1511 nt
Filed under: Klebsiella pneumoniae
Lineage: Bacteria; Pseudomonadati; Pseudomonadota; Gammaproteobacteria; Enterobacterales; Enterobacteriaceae
Description: bacterial SSU rRNA
Rfam family: Bacterial small subunit ribosomal RNA
Source: RNAcentral
AGAGUUUGAUCAUGGCUCAGAUUGAACGCUGGCGGCAGGCCUAACACAUGCAAGUCGAGCGGUAGCACAGAGAGCUUGCUCUCGGGUGACGAGCGGCGGACGGGUGAGUAAUGUCUGGGAAACUGCCUGAUGGAGGGGGAUAACUACUGGAAACGGUAGCUAAUACCGCAUAAUGUCGCAAGACCAAAGUGGGGGACCUUCGGGCCUCAUGCCAUCAGAUGUGCCCAGAUGGGAUUAGCUAGUAGGUGGGGUAACGGCUCACCUAGGCGACGAUCCCUAGCUGGUCUGAGAGGAUGACCAGCCACACUGGAACUGAGACACGGUCCAGACUCCUACGGGAGGCAGCAGUGGGGAAUAUUGCACAAUGGGCGCAAGCCUGAUGCAGCCAUGCCGCGUGUGUGAAGAAGGCCUUCGGGUUGUAAAGCACUUUCAGCGGGGAGGAAGGCGNUCGAUUGACGUUACCCGCAGAAGAAGCACCGGCUAACUCCGUGCCAGCAGCCGCGGUAAUACGGAGGGUGCAAGCGUUAAUCGGAAUUACUGGGCGUAAAGCGCACGCAGGCGGUCUGUCAAGUCGGAUGUGAAAUCCCCGGGCUCAACCUGGGAACUGCAUUCGAAACUGGCAGGCUAGAGUCUUGUAGAGGGGGGUAGAAUUCCAGGUGUAGCGGUGAAAUGCGUAGAGAUCUGGAGGAAUACCGGUGGCGAAGGCGGCCCCCUGGACAAAGACUGACGCUCAGGUGCGAAAGCGUGGGGAGCAAACAGGAUUAGAUACCCUGGUAGUCCACGCCGUAAACGAUGUCGAUUUGGAGGUUGUGCCCUUGAGGCGUGGCUUCCGGAGCUAACGCGUUAAAUCGACCGCCUGGGGAGUACGGCCGCAAGGUUAAAACUCAAAUGAAUUGACGGGGGCCCGCACAAGCGGUGGAGCAUGUGGUUUAAUUCGAUGCAACGCGAAGAACCUUACCUGGUCUUGACAUCCACAGAACUUAGCAGAGAUGCUUUGGUGCCUUCGGGAACUGUGAGACAGGUGCUGCAUGGCUGUCGUCAGCUCGUGUUGUGAAAUGUUGGGUUAAGUCCCGCAACGAGCGCAACCCUUAUCCUUUGUUGCCAGCGGUCCGGCCGGGAACUCAAAGGAGACUGCCAGUGAUAAACUGGAGGAAGGUGGGGAUGACGUCAAGUCAUCAUGGCCCUUACGACCAGGGCUACACACGUGCUACAAUGGCAUAUACAAAGAGAAGCGACCUCGCGAGAGCAAGCGGACCUCAUAAAGUAUGUCGUAGUCCGGAUUGGAGUCUGCAACUCGACUCCAUGAAGUCGGAAUCGCUAGUAAUCGUAGAUCAGAAUGCUACGGUGAAUACGUUCCCGGGCCUUGUACACACCGCCCGUCACACCAUGGGAGUGGGUUGCAAAAGAAGUAGGUAGCUUAACCUUCGGGAGGGCGCUUACCACUUUGUGAUUCAUGACUGGGGUGAAGUCGUAACAAGGUAACCGUAGGGGAACCUGCGGUUGGAUCACCU